AAGCAGCCUCAGCAGCCUUUUUCAAGGUUCUUGAACCAAGGAUCUUUACUGAGGGAAGAUCCUCGCUCCAGCAGGAUGCAGGACAGCCAGUGCUGCUGUGCCCCCUGGCCUGGGAUGCUGGGUCAGGCAGCGAGGGAUCCCCCUUGCCAUUAACAUCAGUACAUAUUUCCCCAAGAUGGAUGCAUGCGCAGAGAUUGUUACGAGGUCCUCAGGGGAUAAUCACUGCCCACUGGUUUCUCCAGGGCCAGACUACGAAUAUUCUUCAGAACAUUGGUGAGCUGUCCCGGCUUCAGUGAAACUGUCCAAAGUCCAAAAUGACUGUGUGCAAAGACAGAAUCUCUGGCAUUUGGGAGUUUCAGAAUUACCAGAAGAUAUUCCAUCUUGUCAGCCUU
Molecule: long non-coding RNA, 392 nt
Filed under: Struthio camelus australis
Lineage: Eukaryota; Metazoa; Chordata; Aves; Struthioniformes; Struthionidae
Description: lncRNA (ENSSCUG00000005263.1)
Source: RNAcentral